This 446-nucleotide ribosomal RNA is filed under the name Aspergillus flavus. RNAcentral describes it as "eukaryotic LSU rRNA". The stretch from base 62 to 215 matches the Rfam family "5.8S ribosomal RNA". The record is from RNAcentral. Lineage: Eukaryota; Fungi; Ascomycota; Eurotiomycetes; Eurotiales; Aspergillaceae.
GACCACCACGAACUCUGUCUGAUCUAGUGAAGUCUGAGUUGAUUGUAUCGCAAUCAGUUAAAACUUUCAACAAUGGAUCUCUUGGUUCCGGCAUCGAUGAAGAACGCAGCGAAAUGCGAUAACUAGUGUGAAUUGCAGAAUUCCGUGAAUCAUCGAGUCUUUGAACGCACAUUGCGCCCCCUGGUAUUCCGGGGGGCAUGCCUGUCCGAGCGUCAUUGCUGCCCAUCAAGCACGGCUUGUGUGUUGGGUCGUCGUCCCCUCUCCGGGGGGGACGGGCCCCAAAGGCAGCGGCGGCACCGCGUCCGAUCCUCGAGCGUAUGGGGCUUUGUCACCCGCUCUGUAGGCCCGGCCGGCGCUUGCCGAACGCAAAUCAAUCUUUUUCCAGGUUGACCUCGGAUCAGGUAGGGAUACCCGCUGAACUUAAGCAUAUCAAUAAGCGGGAGGAA